RNAcentral lists this ribosomal RNA (580 nucleotides) under Leptosphaerulina australis. RNAcentral describes it as "eukaryotic LSU rRNA". The stretch from base 209 to 362 matches the Rfam family "5.8S ribosomal RNA". The record is from RNAcentral. Lineage: Eukaryota; Fungi; Ascomycota; Dothideomycetes; Pleosporales; Didymellaceae.
UCUUGGUCAUUUAGAGGAAGUAAAAGUCGUAACAAGGUUUCCGUAGGUGAACCUGCGGAAGGAUCAUUACCUAGAGUUGUAGGCUUUGCCUGCUAUCUCUUACCCAUGUCUUUUGAGUACUUACGUUUCCUCGGCGGGUCCGCCCGCCGAUUGGACAAUUUAAACCAUUUGCAGUUGCAAUCAGCGUCUGAAAAACUUUAAUAGUUACAACUUUCAACAACGGAUCUCUUGGUUCUGGCAUCGAUGAAGAACGCAGCGAAAUGCGAUAAGUAGUGUGAAUUGCAGAAUUCAGUGAAUCAUCGAAUCUUUGAACGCACAUUGCGCCCCUUGGUAUUCCAUGGGGCAUGCCUGUUCGAGCGUCAUUUGUACCUUCAAGCUUUGCUUGGUGUUGGGUGUUUGUCUCGCCUCUGCGUGUAGACUCGCCUUAAAACAAUUGGCAGCCGGCGUAUUGAUUUCGGAGCGCAGUACAUCUCGCGCUUUGCACUCAUAACGACGACGUCCAAAAGUACAUUUUUACACUCUUGACCUCGGAUCAGGUAGGGAUACCCGCUGAACUUAAGCAUAUCAAUAAGCGGAGGAA